RNAcentral lists this ribosomal RNA (181 nucleotides) under uncultured Methanobacteriales archaeon. RNAcentral's name for it is "partial 16S ribosomal RNA". It matches the Rfam family "Bacterial small subunit ribosomal RNA", at positions 92 to 276 of the family's 1533-position model. Lineage: Archaea; Methanobacteriati; Methanobacteriota; Methanobacteria; Methanobacteriales. The record is from RNAcentral.
CGAGUGGCGAACGGGUGAGUAAUGCAUCGGAACGUACCCGGGAGUGGGGGAUAACCGUCCGAAAGGCUGGCUAAUACCGCAUGAACUCGGAAGAGCAAAGCGGGGGACCUUCGGGCCUCGCGCUCUUGGAGCGGCCGAUGUCCGAUUAGCUAGUUGGUGAGGUAAAGGCUCACCAAGGCGA